Molecule: long non-coding RNA, 741 nt
Filed under: Mus spicilegus (steppe mouse)
Lineage: Eukaryota; Metazoa; Chordata; Mammalia; Rodentia; Muridae
Description: lncRNA (ENSMSIG00000018608.1)
Source: RNAcentral
GUUUAGAAGGGCGUUAAUCACAAAGGGGACAUGCAAGCUAGGGGAAGCUGGUAAUUGAGCGUGCUGGUGAGGAGAAAGCUGGGCGCCUGAUGUCUCAGGGCCACUAGACCUGCGGCUCACAUGCUUUCCUGGGGCCAGGGACAGUGAGUGAUGGAAGGACAGGGAGAGAGGAGCCACGAUGGGCCUGUGAUAGAAGGAGCCUCUGUCUCCCUGCUGUUGGAGGAACUGGUGUAGGGUCCAGGGUGAGUUCUCUGUCUUCUUGCCUGGCCUGGAUGUCGCUGCUCCUGCUCGCUGAGGCAUGAGGUAGGGGUGUCUUAGAGCAAGGCUUAUGUUAAUUUAGUGAGCACGAGUGCGUGUAUGUGUGUGUGUGUUUGGUGCACGAGCGUGUAUGUGCCAUGUCGCACGAGAGGAGGUUAGAAAUAACUUUUGGAAGUUGUUUUUCUGCUUGCACCGUGUGGGAUACAAGAACUGAACUCUGGUCUGCAGGCUUGGUAGCAAGUGCCUUUAUUGCCUGAGCCAUCUCAGUAGCCCUGGGUUCUUAUUUUUAACAAUGCUCACAGGUUCUGUCACCCACACAGCCACUUCUUUUCCUCUUUUUCAUGGAAGCCGCUGGAGGCUGUGGUUCCUGGGAGCUCAAGUGCAGCCCCAUGGUGAAAUUCAUCUAGCAAGCACUACUGUGAGGUGACGGCUCUGCCAAGAGCAGGGAGGUUGGGACAAUACCGCUGAUUUACGGUUCCAGCG